This 253-nucleotide ribosomal RNA is filed under the name uncultured bacterium. RNAcentral's name for it is "partial 16S ribosomal RNA". It matches the Rfam family "Bacterial small subunit ribosomal RNA", at positions 524 to 776 of the family's 1533-position model. The record is from RNAcentral.
CACGUAGGGCGCAAGCGUUGUCCGGAAUUAUUGGGCGUAAAGAGCUCGUAGGCGGUCUGUUACGUCUGCUGUGAAAACCCAGGGCUUAACCCUGGGCUUGCAGUGGAUACGGGCAGACUAGAGGCAGGUAGGGGAGAAUGGAAUUCCCGGUGUAGCGGUGAAAUGCGUAGAGAUCGGGAGGAACACCAGUGGCGAAGGCGGCUACCUGGACCAGCACUGACACUGAAGCACGAAAGCGUGGGGAGCAAACAGG